ACCUUUUGUUGCUACUGAAAUGUUGAUGAAUGAGGAUAUCUGUUAUCAACUUUACAAUUAUACAUGAAUAAAAACGAUAACUAUGGUGACAAAACAGCACAAUGUUUGGACUGAAUCAUAAUGAAUAAAACAAAAAGUGUAUAUAAGCUAAGUCAACCAGAAGGACUUUGAACACAGUUAUUGAAUUAAUUUCCUUGGAGACUCUAAUAGUAAUUGUUGAGACUUGAAACCAGACAGAAUGAAACUGUGAGAAAGUUUACAUAU
Mytilus trossulus (common blue mussel) is the source of this 264-nucleotide long non-coding RNA. RefSeq lists it as uncharacterized. Lineage: Eukaryota; Metazoa; Mollusca; Bivalvia; Mytilida; Mytilidae. The record is from RefSeq and is a predicted model, not a curated record. The transcript is spliced from 3 exons.